UCUCAUGUGACCUGUAAUAAUAGGCUAUCUCCUAUAAAUUAGAAAGUCCAAGUAUAGUUCGUAAAAAGUAGCAGCUUGUGGGACUCCUGAAGCCACCAAGUUAAUGAUCAUGAGAAUCUUUUGCUUUCUCUUUGCUUUUCUCUUCCUGUUUUUCCAAGCCCAGGCUUCCUUAGAGAGUCAGAAUGAAGCUACAAAGGAAGAUAUAACUGAAGUUGAAGGGCAUAUAGAGAAUGCAAAGCUUAAGAAUGGUGAUGAUGAAGGAGAUAAUCUUCUCCCAAGAGGUGAUCCAGUACAUAAUGCCCAAAGAUGCAAAGAAGUUUCUGGUGUUUGUCGCUUUGGAUUGUGUCCCUGGGUAGAGUUCAAAGUGGGGAGUUGUGCUUUUGCUCAACCUUGCUGUAAAAGAUACCGUUCCUAACCUUAAGAUGAAGGAAUCAAAGAAGACAGGCUCAGGACUCCUUGAGACUAUCACUAUCUCCUAGAUUUUUCCAAACAAUAAAGUACUUUGCAAAUCCUUAAAGAA
Long non-coding RNA from Antechinus flavipes (yellow-footed antechinus), 520 nucleotides. RefSeq lists it as uncharacterized. The record is from RefSeq and is a predicted model, not a curated record. The transcript has 2 exons. NCBI's taxonomy places the organism in Eukaryota, Metazoa, Chordata, Mammalia, Dasyuromorphia, Dasyuridae.